GACGAACGCUGGCGGCGUGCUUAACACAUGCAAGUCGAGCGGUAAGGCCCUUCGGGGUACACGAGCGGCGAACGGGUGAGUAACACGUGAGUAAUCUGCCCAUCACUUCGGGAUAACUCCGGGAAACCGGUGCUAAUACCGAAUAUGACCACUUCAGGCAUCUGAUGGUGGUGGAAAGUUCCGGCGGUGAUGGAUGAGCUCGCGGCCUAUCAGCUUGUUGGUGGGGUAGUGGCCUACCAAGGCUUCGACGGGUAGCCGGCCUGAGAGGGUGACCGGCCACACUGGGACUGAGACACGGCCCAGACUCCUACGGGAGGCAGCAGUGGGGAAUAUUGGACAAUGGGCGAAAGCCUGAUCCAGCAACGCCGCGUGAGGGAUGACGGCCUUCGGGUUGUAAACCUCUUUCAGCAGGGACGAAGCGCAAGUGACGGUACCUGCAGAAGAAGCACCGACCAACUACGUG
This 463-nucleotide ribosomal RNA is filed under the name uncultured bacterium. RNAcentral's name for it is "partial 16S ribosomal RNA". It matches the Rfam family "Bacterial small subunit ribosomal RNA", at positions 28 to 507 of the family's 1533-position model. The record is from RNAcentral.